UUGAAAGGGAAACGAUUGAAGUCAGUCGUACCGGUGGGUAAUCAGCCUUUUGGGCGUGAUUAUGUAGAGCGUGAGGAGCUAAACACCUUCAUGCCUGCGUAUUCGUGCACUUUGGGUGUACUUGCCCGCAUGGUUGGUUAACAUCAAUUUCGGAAGCCAUAAAAUGGUUGGAGGAAUGUGGCUUCGACCUCGGUUGAAGUGUUAUAGCCUUCAGCAGAUGUGGUGAUCGAGAUUGAGGAUUGCAACGGAUACCCUUCGGGGCUACCUGUCUGAUCUCUGAUCGUUACUCUGGUGUCGAAAGCGUGCUUACGGUCAUCA
RNAcentral lists this ribosomal RNA (318 nucleotides) under uncultured Glomeromycotina. RNAcentral's name for it is "eukaryotic LSU rRNA". The record is from RNAcentral. Lineage: Eukaryota; Fungi; Glomeromycota.